UAAGCGGAGGAAAAGAAACCAACAGGGAUUGCCCUAGUAACGGCGAGUGAAGCGGCAACAGCUCAAAUUUGAAAUCUGGCUACAUCCCGUAGUCCGAGUUGUAAUUUGUAGAGGAUGCUUUUGGUGAGGUGCCUUCCGAGUUCCCUGGAACGGGACGCCAUAGAGGGUGAGAGCCCCGUACGGUUGGAUACCAAGCCUCUGUAUAGCUCCUUCAACGAGUCGAGUAGUUUGGGAAUGCUGCUCUAAAUGGGAGGUAUAUCUCUUCUAAAGCUAAAUAUAGGCUAGAGACCGAUAGCGCACAAGUAGAGUGAUCGAAAGAUGAAAAGCACUUUGAAAAGAGAGUUAAACAGCACGUGAAAUUGUUGAAAGGGAAGCGCCUAUGACCAGACUUGUUUCUGGCAGUUUCGUUAGCCCUCGGGCUGAUUUACUCUGUCCAGUACAGGCCAGCAUCAGUUUGCUGUCGGGGAGAAAGGCUCUGGGAACGUAGCUCCCCCCUUCUGGGGGGAGUGUUAUAGCCCUCUGCAUAAUACCCUUCGGCAGACUGAGGACCGCGCUUCGGCAAGGAUGCUGGCGUAAUGGUCAUCAGCGACCCGUCUUGAAACACGGACCAGGAGUCAACCUUAUGUGCGAGUGUUUGGGUGUAAAACCCCAGCGCGUAAUGAAAGUGAACGUAGGUGAGAGCUUCGGCGCAUCAUCGACCGAUUCUGAUGUUUUCGGAUGGAUUUGAGUAAGAGCACACAGGGUUGGACCCGAAAGAAGGUGAACUAUGCUUGUAUAGGGUGAAGCCAGAGGAAACUCUGGUGGAGGCUCGCAGCGGUUCUGACGUGCAAAUCGAUCGUCAAAUAUGAGCAUGGGGGCGAAAG
Molecule: ribosomal RNA, 863 nt
Filed under: Ceratocystis fimbriata
Lineage: Eukaryota; Fungi; Ascomycota; Sordariomycetes; Microascales; Ceratocystidaceae
Description: partial large subunit ribosomal RNA
Rfam family: Eukaryotic large subunit ribosomal RNA
Source: RNAcentral